UGAUGAGUAGAUUUGCUUGUUCUACCGGUUCUUGCUGUGUUCCAAAUUCUUAUCCACCAUCAUUCUAUGCUUAAUUCACACCGAUGUUACAAGCUUUAAUUUCCUAGGUGAGUUGUCCAAUUUUUAUUUUUAUUUUAGUUUUUACGUAUUUAGAUUUGUGUUUGUUCAGCAAAAUAGGAUUGUAAUUUCCCUUUUGCUUCUAUGUUCGGCUAAUAGAGUUGUCUCUCUUUCUCCUCAUUGCACAACUCCUACAUUCUCCAAAACACAUAUCCGGAAAAAAAUUGUUACAUAUAGUUUAGGCUUGUUGUCAAUUUAAGUUGACCAGGUGUUCUGGAAAAUUACACUUUUGUAAAUUGAGUUUUGAAAUGUUUGUGCUUCAUUUUGUUUGCUUUUAGAUCAUCUAUGAAUAUGUAUGAGUAAGUUGUUUUUUAGUUUGAGGUAGCAUGGACAUGGAGGACCAAGCCAAUUUUGAAAUUUUUAUUUGAAAGCUUAUAAAUAUCUUUAAAAUUGUCUAUUUUCACACCGAUUGAGUGAUGUUGCUGGUGGGGUUAACACGCGAGGAACUUCACAUUUAAAAGAUUGUAAAUAUCACACUGGAAAGUUGUUCUGUCCAAAUUACAACUCCUACAAUCUCCACUGAGAUAACAAUGCCAUCAGGAUAUUGGCAGCCCACUGCCAACACAGGAAACAGCUGCUCUGCAUCAAAAAUUAACAGGUUGUACAACAUGUUAAGAGAUAGCGAAACUGUUUUGUACAGGUAACUAUUUAUUUCUGCAUCUGAAUUUUUACUUGGAAUUAAAUGUUGCAAACAUUUUGUGCAAUUUUUACCCGAUAUACAUCCAGUUGACUCCGCUUACAGUGCGUCCCGUAUUUCCUGCUUCUACCAAGGGAAAUCCUCAUUCCAUCUACGUGAAAGGCGAGUUACUAAAAGUUGUCAAACUUUUGAUCUAAUCUAUGAGAUUCAAGCAUAUCCUAAUUCUAUGUUAGGUUCAAUAUUAGAUGGUUCUAACGACAAACAGAGUAAAACUAUGUUCUUAGAAAAUAUUUCAAUAUGAAUUAUUUAUUACUAACGUCUUAGUAUCAUGCUCAUAUAUAGUUUGCAACAAUGUUAGUUUAUGAUUUUAGAAUGUCCUCAAUUCAGGUGAAUACUUGAAUAAUAAGAUCAAUCAAAUUAUUUUAACAAUUGCUUUUCCAACUUCAAUAUUAUAUCUAUUAGUGAACAAAGAAAAAAUUGUUUUUUAAAGGUAACAAUAUUAUAUGGCCUUUAAGACAAAAAGGGAAAACAACAGCAUAACGAGUUGGCAUUUUGUCUCAAUCUUAAAGCCUUGUUCUUCUUUCCUUGUUCCAUAAUCUGCAGGAUCCUGCAGCUUCUCUCUGCACCUUUGGAACAACAAACUCAACAAGUGGAGGGAUACCACCUUCAAUCCUAUAGUCAAAAAAUACAGAUCUGUAAAAGGGCAAAGUCUUUCAAAUUCUUCUGGCUCAACUCAUGCUUCAGUUUUUGUAAAGGUAUGUUAUUUUUCACAUUAACAAUACACUUAAAUUCUGAACUUUUAAAUGUAAGAGGGUGCAAGAAUGUUGUUGACCCUUAGUUUGAUACUUCUUUAAGAUAACAUCAGUUCAUUUGAGUUGAACGCAUGAUAAGUUCGUUUAUAUAUGUUAUAUUAGGUACUGCCAACUUUCUUAUUUUUAACACUGUUAAAAUUCUUAUGUUGGGGUAGUGUUUUUCUUCAUUUCUUGUCAUCUUUUUGAAUUAUUUUUUUUAGACUAAACCUGAUUUUAGGAGCUUGUAUGUUGUCUAUAUUAAGCAAUAUUCUACCUUGAAUAGGUAAUUUAGAGAAAGAUAUGCAUUCUAAUUUGCCUUAUUCCUCCAUAACAAGAUUUUCUAGAUAAUCUGCAAAUGAAAUUUCCUCUUGUAUAUGUGUUGCACAUGGAUUUUGAAACCUCUAUGAAAUUUCUUGUAUUUUUAUACUAUUGUACUAAUGUGCAAAGGGUGUGGUCCACAUAUCUCCAACAUUUUUUUUAUUAAAAGAGUCAAUUCUUAUUUAUGAAAGUAGUAAAUUCUUGUACAACACAGUAGGAUAAAGUUUCUCUAAUUGCAGUUUCCUCUACCUCAGUGUUUGGUGUGUCUGGGAAAACCUCAGCUUGAGCAAAUAUUAGGUCUCCAGUAUGUCUUCUAACACAUAUUUCAUAGGAGCUCUUACUAGGAUUUCUCCAACUAGCAAUAUUGCUUCUAACCUUGUUUCACAUGUUGAUGCAUGUAGCGCACAAGCUGUAACAGGCCAAAAUAUUCUACAUUCUUCAGGUUCAACUCAUGAUUCGGUUCUUCAAAAGGUAUUUUGCGUGGUUCCUUUGAUUCUAUGCUGUCUUGGUGUCUUCAGUAGUGUGUCUUGGUUUUGUUGGAGUUGAGUUUCCUCUUUAUCCAUGCUUUGUUUGGUGCGACUGCUAUCCUGAUUUACAGGACCCCUCUUUGGAGUAGACUGUAUUGAUCUUGUGUGAUUGCGACUGCUACCUGUUUUGGUGUCUGUAGUAGAGUGUAUUGAUCUUGUAUGAUUGUGACUCUGUUUUCCGAGAAUUAGCUGUGUCAUCUUCCUCUUUUUCCACCUUGAUUUCAGCUUGAUUGUUGGUACCCUGCCCCAUAGGGAAAGUGAAAGCAAAAAUGAUAUCUCAUUUGAACUUAGAUCGAUUAAAGCUUCAUCUGAAAGUUCCAUGCUACACUGAAAGUAAAACAAAGUUGAAUUGUUGCAGCUGAAUUGUUGAGUUCUAAGAUCGAUUAAAGUAGAAUUCUAAGAGCUCUAAGAUAGGAGCUCUAAGUUGCUUUUGUAAUUCUGUUGCAGCUGAAUUCAUUUUCUUGUUGAAUUGUUGGGCAUCUAUAUUGAUCUUUGAAACACAUCCACUUUCAUGAAAUCUAAAUAAUGUUCUAGCUGCUGGGAGGAAUUUGGAACCUGCAAUCAUAUGUAAUAUGCAAUAAUCUGUAAUUUGUAAUCUGCAAUCUGGAGUUGUAAUCUAUAACCUGUAAUAAUUUGGAAUCUGGAAUUUGGAACGGUAAUCUGUAAUCUGCAGUAAUAUGAAAUCUGGAACUGUAAUCUGGAACCUGAAAUAUUGAACUAUAAUCUGCAUUCUGCAAUUUGGAAUCUAAAACCUGCAAUCUGGAACUCAUUCUUUAAUCCGUAAUCUGCAAUAAUAUGGAAUCUGGAACUGUAAUUUGGAACUCAAAAUCUGCAGUCUGCAAUUUGCAAUGUGGAACUGUUGCAAUCUAGAAUCUGGAACUUCUUGCCUUGUCUAUAACGUACUGUUGCAAUCUGAUUUGUUGUAAAUUCUAAAUGUGUAGGGAAAUGGAGGUGAUCAAAUUUGAAGGGUCGCUACAAGUCAAUUUGAUCUCAUUGAAGUGGCUGAUGAAGAGUUUUUGAACUAUUGUAAAAGUUUGAAUACAUUAUGUUUGAUUUUGCGAAAUAUAUUCUUUGCUAGAAUAUAUUGAACUAUUGUAAGAGUACUUUUUGAACAAUUGUGUACACAUAUUUAGAAUAUUGUUGUAUAAGUAUGUGCAAGUACACAAGACGUACUCUCUUUUGAAGUUUAUUCAAAUCUAUACAUUUGAAAUACUUACGAGCC
This 3612-nucleotide long non-coding RNA is filed under the name Solanum tuberosum (potato). RNAcentral's name for it is "long non-coding RNA (STUB_LNC000025)". Lineage: Eukaryota; Viridiplantae; Streptophyta; Magnoliopsida; Solanales; Solanaceae. The record is from RNAcentral.